AACUACCGAGAAGUGAGAAGUCAAGUACUGACCCACCUACUUGCUCGAAUCAGUGAGAAGAAUUGCCUCAUCUUUCCAUUUUUCUGUGUUUAGGAAAUAUUAAGGUGACAAGAAUGAGUAAAGGAAAGAACUCCCCCUGGUACACCUUGUUCUUAAGGUUGCUGUCUUCCUUCUUCAGUUCAUCUGCAGGGAGUGGAACUAAAUCGUUGCACACUGGGCCGGAGGUGGCAAUGGUAGCUGCUGCUAAGCAUUUCUCCUCUGCUCACAAAAUAAAAAUGGGCUAGCUUCCAUUGAUGAUGGAGGUCAUCUCUAUUAUUGCUUCCUUGUUGUUAAAAAUAGAAGUUAAAGGUUGUCCCAAGUGGGCCUCAAGAAUCAUUCGAAUUCAUUUUGAAAAUUUAAAUGGUUAGUGUUUAUGUUGAUUUGGAGGAAAAGGAUACACCUAAUCCUGGUGUGAAAAAGGAAGAAAAUGAAAUAAAUAUAAAGAAAAACACAAGUCUUAAAUUCAGACUUGUCAGAAGAAAAAUCAACAUUAGGUCCAAAUUUUGAAGGGAGAGGGGAAGCUAAAGUUUCUUGUGAGUGAGGAAAGUGGGCCUGGCCUAGCCUUGUGGUCAAAAUUCAAAACUCAAAAGAGAGCUCUUCUGUUCCUCUAAGAUUUCCUUCGUCACAAUCAACUCCCACACCCCCAAAUAUAAUAUAAGCUUGUAAGCAGAGAGGACGGAGGAUAGUGUUGGGAUAUUUAUAGGUGAAUGAAAAUUAAGGCAUAUAGUUUCAAUUAGACANCAACUCUUUCUAAUGGNNNNNNNNNNNNNNNNNNNNNNNNNNNNNNNNNNNNNNNNNNNNNNNNNNNNNNNNNNNNNNNNNNNNNNNNNNNNNNNNNNNNNNNNNNNNNNNNNNNNUUUUAAGCAGAGAGGACGGAGGAUAGUGUUGGGAUAUUUAUAGGUGAAUGAAAAUUAAGGCAUAUAGUUUCAAUUAGACACAACUCUUUCUAAUGGAUACAACUUGUGUCAAAGGAUAUGUCAAGUAUUUAAGACGCUCUUCUAAAAGUCACCAAAAAACCUAUAAAUAAGGCCCCAAUGACAUUUCUCAUUCAUUCCAUCAUCAAUUGAGUUCAAGUCAUUUAAGUGAUUCGUUGUUUUUUGUGAUUUUGAGUGCUACUAUUACAAGAAAGUAAUCAUUGUAUCUUGGGAGACGAUUGUCAACAAACCGUAAGCAUUAGUAUAAGGCAAAUUUGUCUUAAAGAUAUAAAGUCAAACUUUAGCCUCGAUCAACCGUUUGUAAAAUUCAAUAUUUACUUACCUUGUCAUUUAUUUAUUAUACAUAAUUAUUUGACCAUACAUUCUUGAUAAUUCAAGAAUAACAUAUAGAACCCAUAGGGCCAGACCCAAUAAGAAGAAAGGAAGCAGUGCUCACGGCUUAGCCAUUUACUUGGCUCGAAAGAGAGAGAAGAAGUUGUUUCCAUCUUUUCAUCUUUUCAAUUAAUAAGCAUUAGAAGUCAAGUUGGUGCACCUUAUUCUUGAGGUUGGUGUCUUUGUGUUGUGAGGAUCCAUGAAUUGAAGAGCCCAACAGCUGUGGGACGCACCCUCCCAGAGGCAGCCAUGGUUGCUGCUCCUAAGCAUCUCCUCUCCUCAUAAAAUCCCAAUAUGCUAGCUUCACAGGCCUGAUCGAGAUUUUGUGCUUCAGUUUUUUUUUUUCCCAAAAAUUUCAAGCAUUAAUAGUAAACACAAUUCAAAAUUUUAUUAAUUCGAGGAUCGGCUAUAAUUUCUAUCUUUCUUGAACUCUUAUUUUUGUACACCAAAGGAAAUAUCGCCUACUUGAUGUUUGCUUUGAAAUUAGAACAUCUUUCAAAUUAAAAGCUUUUGGGACUUUAUGAAUGACUUUGAAUGUGCUCUUCAUAGACUUCAAAUCUUCAAACUUUUUCUCCCUUAACUUAUUUUAAAGUUGAGAGAGAAUAUUGAAUGACGUAUUUAUAAUGUUUUGUAAAACAAAAGUAUAUUGGUAAUUUAAAAUAUUUUUAAUCAUAUUUUAAAAAUAAUUUUUAUUUGUAAUAUUUUAUUUUUAAUUAUUAUUCAUAUUUAUAUAAUUAUUUUUUAAAAAUAAUUCUCAAAAGAACAAGUCAAAAUUAUCAAAAACAAUUAAAAGAUAUUUUUGAAAAUAAUAUAUUUUUAAUUUUUAAAGAGUAGAAAAUUAUUUUCAAAAAAUAAUUGUCAAAUAAGGUCAUAUAGAUUUUUUUAUUGACAUUGUACUAAAUAAACUAGAAAGAAUUCUUUAUAGUUUAUUUACUAUCAAUGUGUGUUAUUCCUAAACUCUACAUAUUAUGAAAUUCUUUAAUGUAAUACCUACUAUCUUUUACUUUUUCCUGAUCAAGGACUUUCGUAAUUCCUUUACCGUAUUUAUUUGACUAAUACAUUAUAUAGUAUAUUGUUUAAACUAUCAAAGAUCUUGUUUAUGCAUAUGCGAUAAAAAUGAUUCCAAGUUUCGGAACUUCCUAUUUGGGCAUUACUUUCACCCUCAUUUGAAACGAGGGCAUCUUCGUAUAAGACUUCAGCAAGAUUUCGAGUUGAAAAGUAGAAUAAUAUUUUUUGUCAAAACCUCUUGAAGUCCAUUCCAAUUAUAAACCUCUAGCCUCUCACCAUAAGCAACAUGCCAUGAUGAUUAAAUAAUAAAAAUAAAUUUGUUAUAAGACUAUUGUAAAUUAUGAAAAGUAUAUAGACUAAUAAUUGUAUAAAAUAAAUAAAGCAAAUAGAAAUUAAUUCACAAAUAAGGUUGAUGAGUUUGACUUCGUAUCCUUAAGACGAAUUUGCCCGAUUUAGGUACUUGUUUAGUAGUAAUUGUCUCUUAAGAUACAAUGAUUAUUUACUUCAAAUCACUCAAUGUUCUAUGCUCUGGAAAAAUCUUGAAUCAAGGUUUCAAUUCAUCUUGUAUGAGAAGCCUGUCAUUGUUAACUGGGCCUUUUGACUAUUGACAUGGUGAGGUGCCCAAGCUCCAUAAAAGAUAGAGAUACAUCUGAGUCCUGUAUGACCUCUAAUCAGAUAUUUUGAGCUUCUGAUCUCCAAUCUCUGUGUUUUUUUUUUCUUGUUGGGGUUACCUCAACGUUGGAUGACGACACACAACUGGGCUUUGGAUGAUGGGCCAUAUCGAUCUCGAUUGAGACAAAUCACAUGAUUUUUGAGGUAAAUGGUAGUCUAAACUUUCUUGUUGAACAAGAGGGUCAGAAAAGUACGGCGGUCAAAAGCGAAGUCCCACGAGUUUCUGAGCUGUUUCCCUUUCUAGUCUUGAGCCUCCAAUACAAGCUUGAAACCCAAGAAAUCUCAGCUAUAUAAACAGCAGAGAACAUAGAAUCCAAUCACAAGAAGCAAGCAAACUACCAAGAAGUUGAGUACUCGCCCAUCUACUUGCUCCAAUCAGUGAGAAGAAUUGUCUCAUCAUCUGUCCAUUUUUCUGUGUUUAGGAAAUAUUAAGGUAGACAAGAAUGAGUAAUGGAAAGAACUCCGCCUGGUACACCUUGUUCUUAAGGUUUCUGUCUUCCUGCUUCAGUUCAUCUGCAGGGAGUGGAACUAAAUCCUUGCACACUGGGCCAGAGGCGGCAAUGAUAGGUGCUGCUAAGCAUUUCUCCUCUGCUCACAAAAUAAAAAUGGGCUAGCUUCCAUUGAUGAUGGGCAGUUUUUCAGGAGUAAUGCUAGUGUCUCUGGAUGAUGAAGUCUCUCCUAUAAGAUCCCAUGUACAAAUGCUCUAUCUCAUUGGAUGUGUCUGAGAAUGAUCAAUGCAGAGGUUGAAUAACUGCAAAUUUUGGGUUAGGAAUGGCCUAGCCACCAUUCCCAAUCCUCCCAAUUUCGCAGACACAGGAAGAAUCAUAUAAUCUUCCUAAAAACACUCAUGGGUGCAGGUUGAUUUUUCUGUUGUUGAAAUUUCAAAUUGUUUUAGGAGGCAUUGUAUAGCAGUUUGUAUUUGAAUUGUUGUGAUACUUUUCUACCCUUUGUGAAUAAACAUUUCAUAUUUAUUAAAAAGCCUUCCAAUUCAUUUUGAAAUUUUAAAUGGUAAGUGUUUAUGUUGAUUUGAAGGAAAAGCAUACCCUAAUCCUGGUCUUAAAAAGUAAGAAAGAAAAUCACAAGCAUUAAAUUCAGACUUGUUAAAAGAAAAGUCAACAUUAGGUCCACAUUUUGAAGGCACAGGGGAAGCUAAAACUGCUUGUGAGAGAGGCAAGUGGGCCUGGCCUGGCCUAGCAUUGUGGUCAAACUCAAAACUCAAAAGAGGUCUUCUGUUUUUGAACUAUUUCCUUUGUCACAGUCCAAGAGCCAUCACCCAAGUAUUGGGGUAAAAAUUCACGCAUAGUACGAAUUGUAACUCUUGGAAUUCAUGCAUAUAGCCUAUCCUUUUGAAGUCCUAAACUCCUAACUAUGAAAUUCUCUAAUCAAUAUCCUCUAUCUUAUAUUUUUCCUUGAGGAUUCUCAUAGUUCCUUUACAAUGAGCAAGAUUUAGAUGGUAUUUGUUUUUUUACUUAAUUCUAAAUAGAACGUUAAUGCUUAAUAGUGUUAAAUAUUAUAUUGUUUGUUUUUGUAAUAUUUUAUUUCUAUUAAGUAUUAAAAAGUAAAAAAAAUUAAUAUGUUAUUUUUUCUAUUUAGAAAAAAGCUACAUAUUUUGGUGUGUUUGUUUUUUUACUUAAUUCUAAAUAGAACCUUAAUGCUUAAUAGUGUUAAUAUUAGGUUGUUUAUUUUUGUAGUAUUUUAUUUCUAUUAAGUAUUAAAAAGUAAAAAAAACCAAUAUGUUAUUUUUUCUAUUUAGAAAAAGUUACAUAUUUUGGUUUUUUCUAUUUAGUAAAAAGUUUAUAAUAAGUCAUGAAAAAGUAGAAAAACAAACAAUUUAAAUUCUAAAACUAAAUUGCUUUUAUAAAAAAGUCAAAAAAACAAACACCAUAUUGAUUUUUUUAUUUAGUAAAAAGUUUAUAAUAAGUUAUGAAAAAAUAGAAAAACAAACAACUUAAAUUCUAAAACUAAAUCACUUUCAGUAAAAAGCCAGAAAAACAAAUACCACCUUGUGAGGUAGCACAACAUUCUUUGUUGCCAGUUCUUCAAGUUCAUUUUACUAAACUUUUCUAGCUUUUCACCAUAAACAGCCAAAGUAAUCAAAUAGUAAAAAUGAAUUUGUUAGAAGACUGUUAAAAAUGAAUUUGAGGUAAAUGACAGUCUAAAUUUUCUUGUUAAACAAGAAAGUCAGAAAAGGAUGGUGGUCAAAAGCGAAGUCUUCCCAGUUUCUGAGCUAUUUCCUUUUCCACGGUCUUGAGUCCGCUGCCCACAUGCUCAAAUACAAGCUUGAACCCCAAGAAAUCUCAGCUAUAUAAACAGCAGAGAACAUGGAAGCCAAUCACAAGAAACAAGCAAACUACCAAGAAGUUGAGUACUCGUCCAUCUACUUGCUCCAAUCAGUGAGAAGAAUUGUCUCAUCAUCUGUCCAUUUUUCUGAGUUUAGAAAAUAUUAAGGUAGACAAGAAUGAGUAAAGGAAAGAACUCCGCCUGGUACACCUUGUUCUUAAGGUUGCUGUCUUCCUUCUUCAGUUCAUCUGCAGGGAGUGGAACUAAAUCCUUGCAUACUGGGCCGGAGGCAGCAAUGGUAGCCGCUGCUAAGCAUUUCUCCUCUGCUCACAAAAUAAAAAUGGGCUAGCUUCCAUUGAUGAUGGGCGGUUUUUCAGGAGUAAUGCUAGUCUCUCUGGAUGAUGAAGUCUCUCCUACAAGAUCCCAUGCACAAAUUCUCUAUCUCGUUGAGAAUUUUCAAUGCAGAAGUUGAACAACUGCAGAUUAGAUAUCAACCAUGUUGGCAGAUUUCGGGUUGGUAAUUAAUGAUCUACUACCCAGCAGUCCAAUCAUGCCAAUUUCCAGAAAGAAAGAGGAAGAAUCAUAUAAUCUUCCUAAAUACACUUAUGGAUACAAGUUGAUUUCAGGCUUUGUUUAGCAGUUUGUAUUUGAAUUGUUGUCAUACUUUUCUACUCUUUGUGAAUAAAUAUUUCAUAUUUAUUAAAAACCUUCCACAUUUGUCCAAGCCAAGCCUUUACUCCAAGCAGGAGGUUUAUGAUUUUAAAUAGUAAGUGCUUAUGCUGAUUUGGAGGAUAAGGAUAACCUAAUCCAGGUGCGAAGAGGAAAAUAAAAUAAGAAAAACACAGAAGCUUAAAUUCAGACUUGUCAAAGAUAAGUCAAUACUAGGUCCGCAUUUUGAAGGUAGAAGGGAAGCAAAGUUGGUUUGUAACUUGUGAGAGAGGAAAUUGGGCCUAGCCUAGCAUUGUCGUCAAAACUCAAAAGAGAGCUCCUGUUUCUCAACCAUUUCCUUUGUCACGAUCCAAGAGCCAUCACCCAAGUAUUCUGGUCAAAGACGGAAGUCCUCAGUUUCUCCACUGUCUCUAUAUCUCAGUUCACAAUCAACUCCCACACCCCCAAAUAUCAUGUAAGAUUCAAUGAGUGAGCUUAUGAGAAGUCAAGUUGGCGCACCUUAGUCAAGUUAGCAGCAGCCAUGGUCGCUGCUGGCUGCUGUUAAGCAUCUCUUUCUCUCAUAAAUUCCGGAUAUGGUAGCAUAGCAGUCACGAGGUCCUUUUAAGGACCGUGGAAAUACCAUACCUCCGUUUUAAUAGACGUGAUGAGAUUUUGUGGUUCAGGAUUCCAAGCAUUAAUAGUAAACACAUAAUGGUCAGUUGAUUCUAAAAUUUUAUUCAUUUGAGGAUAUUGGUUAUAAUUUAUACCUUUUUUGUACUCUUAUUUUCCUACACUAAAAGUAAUAACACCUACUUGAUGUUUAAUUACUUUCGAAUCAAAAGCUUUUGGGACUUUAUGAUUGGCUUUGAAUCUGUUGUUCACAGCUUUCAAAAACAAUUUUGAAAAACUAGUUUUUAAGCACAAUUUUUAAAAACUAUUUUAUAAUUUAAAUAUAUUUUGGGUUUAUGAUUUCCAAUCCCAUAAUCUAUGUAUUUUUAGAAUUACCUUUUGUCUCCAUGAUGAUACAUGAUUCAAUGAUUCAAUGUGCUAGUGGUGCAUGGUGAGCUAGUGCAUGUUUGAAUUAUUUGCUGGAACUGGGUGUCUUUUUCUUUGUUUUUUGAGGUUGCCUCAAUGUUGGAUGACUGGAUAAUGGGCCUUAUCGAUCUCAAUUAACACAAAUCACAUACUGUUUGAGGUAAAUGUUGGUCUAAUUUUCUUGUUGAACAAGUCAGAAAAGUAUGGUGGUCAAAAGCGAAGUCCCACAAGCUUCUGAGCUAUUUCCUUUUCCAGUCUUGAGCCUCCAAUACAAGCUUGAACCCCAAGAAAUCUCUUUUAUAUAAACGGCAGAGAACAUGGAAUCCAAUCACAAGAAGCAAGCAAACCACCGAAAAGUUAAGAGUACUCUCCCAUCUACUUGCUAGAACCAGUGAGAAGAAUUGUCUCAUCUUUCCAUUUUUCUGGGUUUAGUUAAUACUAAGGUAGACAAGAAUGAGUAAAGAAAAGAACUCCGCCUCGUCCACCAUGUUCUUAAGGUUGCUGUCUUCCUUCUUCAGUUCGUCUCCGGGGAGUGGUAAGUUGAAGAGUUCAAGAAGUACAUCCUUACACACCGGGCCGGAGGCAGCAAUGGUAGCUGCUGCUAAGCAUUUCUCCUCUGCUCACAAAAUAAACUUGGGCUAGCUUCCAUUGAUAAUGGGCAGUUUGUCAGGAGUAAUGCCAGUCUCCCUGGAUGAUGAAGUCUCUCCUAUAAGAUCCGAUGCACAAAUGCUCUAUCCCAUUGGAUGUGUGCGAGAAUUUUCAAGGCAGAAGUUGAAUAACUGCAGAUUAGAUAUCAAACAUGUUGGUUCAUUUUGGGUUGGUAAUGGUCUACUACCCAGCAGUCCAACCCUGCCAAUUUCGCAGAAAGAAAGAGGAAGAAUCAUAUAAUCUUCCUAAAAGCACUUAUGGGUGCAAGUUGAUUUUAGGCUUUGUUUGGGAGUUUGUAUUAAUUUGAAUUGUUGUAAUACUUUUCUACUUUUUUCAAUAAAUAUUUUAUCUUUAUUAAAAAGCCUUCUACAUUUGUCUAAGCUUUUACUUUUCUUCAAAUACGUAAAGGAUAUAAUUUCUAUUUUUUUAAUUUUUUAAAAAAUACUAAAAUAGUCUCUAUUCUUAAAAAGAAUAUUUUUAAAAUAUACUUGUGAAAAGUAUAUUGGAUUUUAGAGACAAAUACAGAGUACUUGUCAAAAGAUGAGUCAACAUUAGCAUUGUGGUCAAAACUCAAAAGAAAGGUCUUGUACUGUUUCUGAAUGAUUUCCUUUGUCACAAUCGAAGAUGGAUCAACCAAGUAUAGUGGUCAAAAAAGAACUCCUCAGUUUCCCCACCAUUACUGAGUCCACAGUCAACUCUCACCCCCCCAAAUACUGUAUAAGCUUGUACUCCAAGAAAUCUCAACUAUAAAUACAUAAACAGCUGACAACAUAGAAGAUAUGUAGAACCGCACCCACAAUAAGAAGUGGGAAGCCAGUGCUCACUACUUAGCCAUUUACUUGGCUUGAAACAGUACGCGAGAAGCUAGAUGUUGUCUUCAUCUUUUCAUCUUUUCAAUAUGAGUGAGCAAGACAAGUCAAGUUGGCGCACCUUAUUCUUGAGGUUUUUAUCUUUGUGUUGUGAUUAUGAAUCGAAGAGUCCAGCAGCUGUGGUACGCACCCACCCAGAGGCAGCCAUGGUCGCUGCUGCUAAGCACCUCUCCUCUCCUCACAAAAUCCGAAUAUGCUAGCUUCACAGGACCCCUUGUGGAAAAUGCCUUACUUCCGUUUUUAUAGAUGUCAUCCAGAUUUUGUAGCUCUAUCUUUUUGUUUUGUUUUUUGGUUUUUUACAAGGAAGUUCCAAGUAUCAUGAGUCAGUCCUUUUACACAUCUUGACCCAUUAAAAUUUUGGGCAAUGGGUGUAAUCUCUAUCUUGUCUUCUUGCUUUGGUGUGUGAAAGGAAAUGCCACCUACGUUUUUAUACAUCUUCUCAUUUUUCUAUCAAAAGAUAAAAACACCAUCUUAGCAAUUUAAUGAUUGAUUUUGGAUCAAAAAGGCUCUUUUCAACAAACACUAAAUUAUCUUGAUGGGGUCUUCAAUUUUGCAUAAAAAUCUUCUUAUCUUUGAAGAUCUUCAAGACAUCUCCAAGUCUUCACAAGAAACCUUAUGAGUUAAGAUUAAGUGACUCAAGCUCAAGAUGGGCAAACUAGAAUUGAGUGGAAGAUCACGAAGUAUUCAGGAUCUGCAUCAUUCGCUGCAUUAACUAGAAUUGAUAUGAGAACAUUCAUAUCAAAGGUAUAUUUUUUAGCACCCAAUUGAUUAGAUUAGUAUCCCUAGGAAGUUAGUUGCAGACACCCCAUUGAUAUAAGGCUUGGAAUGAAGUUUUUUAGAUAUUCCUACGAACUUCAUUAGCCUUUGGAGAGAGUUUAGUGGGCAAACUGCAUCAUUGGCAGGUCAUCCCCUGUGCACAGAUGAAGCUCUGAUGGAAAAAGCUUUUAGAUUCUCAAGUAAGCUUAGCGCCUCCAGUUAUUUUAUCAAGGGGUGGGUUUUCUACUUCUUCUUUUGCUUGCAAAAAACAGGGCUUCAUUAUUUGAGAUGGUCAAAAGUUUGUUUUUGUGGGGGAAACAGGUUGAGAGGUUUUCAACAAAAUGCAAUGGUAAUGGUUUUGGGCCAUUAUAAAUGAUGGACAAUGAGGGUUUGGCUGUGGACUUCCAUGGUAAUAUUUCUAGAGAUACCAAGAAUAUGGUCUUAGAAGUCUGCUUGAAAAUAUGGUUUCCAAUAAAUGUAGUCAUAACAAGGCUUUGAUGGGAGGUGGGAGCUACUUAGAUUUGUCUUUCAAGAAAUUGAUCUCUUUUAGCAAGUUUUUGUGAUUGUCAAUGGAAGAAGAGUAUGAGAAGAAAAUUGAGUGCCUUUCAGAAAGUCCUCCUUGACAACCCAUUCAGAUAGAGAGCUUCACAAAUUGGGGUGAUUAGUUAAUUAAAAAGUAUACAACCAUUCAAGUAGAAAAGAGAAGCACCAAGAAAGCAAGUGGGAUAUCGUUCUAGGUGUGCAUGAAGUUUAAGAUAUUUGGACUAAUGUUAGAAGGCUUAGAUGUUGAUGGUUGGAGUCUACUUAGAUAGAUAUAAGUGCCACAAAGAUGAGGAAAGGGAUUGGGAGGAUGGGAAGAGGAUUUUGAAAGGUGAGAUUGUUGUGUAAAUAUUUUACAAAUAAAUUAAUAAAUAUGAUAUUUAAAUUAAUAAAUAUUUAAUAAUGG
This 10208-nucleotide long non-coding RNA is filed under the name Vitis vinifera (wine grape). RNAcentral's name for it is "long non-coding RNA (VVIN_LNC004787)". Lineage: Eukaryota; Viridiplantae; Streptophyta; Magnoliopsida; Vitales; Vitaceae. The record is from RNAcentral.